CCCUUUAUAGCUCAGUUGGUAGAGCGGAGGACUGUAAUGAAACGUCGUAACGACACUGUCAUCCUUAGGUCACUUGUUCGAAUCAGGUUGAAGGGA
Absidia glauca is the source of this 96-nucleotide non-coding RNA. The record is from Rfam. Lineage: Eukaryota; Fungi; Mucoromycota; Mucoromycetes; Mucorales; Cunninghamellaceae.